This 297-nucleotide long non-coding RNA is filed under the name Elaeis guineensis (African oil palm). Its description in RNAcentral is "long non-coding RNA (EGUI_LNC078480)". Lineage: Eukaryota; Viridiplantae; Streptophyta; Magnoliopsida; Arecales; Arecaceae. The record is from RNAcentral.
GAUGCGUUGAGAUGGGAGAGGCGGCAAGAGAGAACUCACGUGAGUAAUCUCAAGAAAUUCCUACUUAGCGCACGCCCUUUAUUUCUUUUGUUUUGUCGCACAACACAAAAGCCUCAAUGCCCUUUCCAGAUAUGGAUUAUCCGUAUUUGAAUCAAAUUCAAAUAUGGAUAGAAAUCUGGAUGAGAGAGAGUCCCAGAUAAGGUGGGGUGCCAACUAUUGGCGCCCUUUUUCCUUCACGGGUGUAAGAAGCAAAAGGGGAAGCGUCUCCACGCGCUCCCUCCCUUUUUUUUGCAUGAG